AUUGAACGCUGGCGGCAUGCUUUACACAUGCAAGUCGGACGGCAGCGCGGGCUUCGGCCUGGCGGCGAGUGGCGAACGGGUGAGUAAUGCAUCGGAACGUGCCCAGUAGUGGGGGAUAGCCCGGCGAAAGCCGGAUUAAUACCGCAUACGACCUGAGGGUGAAAGCGGGGGACCGAAAGGCCUCGCGCUAUUGGAGCGGCCGAUGUCGGAUUAGCUAGUUGGUGGGGUAAAGGCUUACCAAGGCGACGAUCCGUAGCUGGUCUGAGAGGACGACCAGCCACACUGGGACUGAGACACGGCCCAGACUCCUACGGGAGGCAGCAGUGGGGAAUUUUGGGCAAUGGGGGCAACCCUGAUCCAGCCAUGCCGCGUGCGGGAAGAAGGCCUUCGGGUUGUAAACCGCUUUUGUUCGGGAAGAAAUCCUCUGGGCUAAUACCCCGGGGGGAUGACGGUACCGGAAGAAUAAGCACCGGCUAACUACGUG
Molecule: ribosomal RNA, 484 nt
Filed under: uncultured bacterium
Lineage: Bacteria
Description: partial 16S ribosomal RNA
Rfam family: Bacterial small subunit ribosomal RNA
Source: RNAcentral